UGGGGAAUUUUGGACAAUGGGGGAAACCCUGAUCCAGCCAUCCCGCGUGUGCGAUGAAGGCCUUCGGGUUGUAAAGCACUUUUGGCAGGAAAGAAACGUCGCGGGUUAAUACCCCGCGAAACUGACGGUACCUGCAGAAUAAGCACCGGCUAACUACGUGCCAGCAGCCGCGGUAAUACGUAGGGUGCAAGCGUUAAUCGGAAUUACUGGGCGUAAAGCGUGCGCAGGCGGUUCGGAAAGAAAGAUGUGAAAUCCCAGAGCUUAACUUUGGAACUGCAUUUUUAACUACCGGGCUAGAGUGUGUCAGAGGGAGGUGGAAUUCCGCGUGUAGCAGUGAAAUGCGUAGAUAUGCGGGGGAACACCGAUGGCGAAGGCAGCCUCCUGGGAUAACACUGACGCUCAUGCACGAAAGCGUGGGGAGCAAACAGGAUUAGAUACCCUGGUAGUCCACGCCCUAAACGAUGUCAACUAGCUGUUGGGGCCUUCGGGCCUUGGUAGCGCAGCUAACGCGUGAAGUUGACCGCCUGGGGAGUACGGUCGCAAGAUUAAAACUUAAAUGAAUUGACGGGGUCAU
This 574-nucleotide ribosomal RNA is filed under the name uncultured bacterium. RNAcentral describes it as "partial 16S ribosomal RNA". It matches the Rfam family "Bacterial small subunit ribosomal RNA", at positions 355 to 922 of the family's 1533-position model. The record is from RNAcentral.